Molecule: long non-coding RNA, 396 nt
Organism: Austrofundulus limnaeus
Lineage: Eukaryota; Metazoa; Chordata; Actinopteri; Cyprinodontiformes; Rivulidae
Exons: 4
Source: RefSeq, a predicted model, not a curated record
GCUCCUGCAGCGCCGCAAGCCUGCGCUGCAGCUCCGCCAUCUCCUCCUGGUUCAACAGGAAGUCUCUUUACUUACUUCACAGCUGUAACCAUUAUUGCGGCUCCCUGUGCGCUCCGGUGGGGAUGCCUCCUGUCCCGUGUGACCGGAGGGGCAACAUGGCCGCCAGGCUCCACUCACCACAGAACGGCACUGAGGGAAAACCUGUAAUUCUCAGAAGAGCCAGAAGGUGGAAUCAAAGUUCAACACCAGGAUCAGGGUUUAUAAUUUGGUUCUUAUGGAACCGGGGUGUCCGGUUCUGGUCCUGGAGGGCCACUAUCCUGCAGGAUCCUGCUGGUGAACGUCUGAGCCUGACGUGUUGAUGCUCUGAGGAGGGUAGAUUUACGAGGAUUUGUGUGC